Molecule: ribosomal RNA, 879 nt
Filed under: uncultured bacterium
Lineage: Bacteria
Description: bacterial SSU rRNA
Rfam family: Bacterial small subunit ribosomal RNA
Source: RNAcentral
GUUUGAUCCUGGCUCAGGAUGAACGCUGGCGGCGUGCCUAACACAUGCAAGUCGAGCGAUUUACUUCGGUAAAGAGCGGCGGACGGGUGAGUAACGCGUGGGUAACCUGCCCUGUACACACGGAUAACAUACCGAAAGGUAUGCUAAUACGAGAUAAAAUACUUUUAUCGCAUGGUAGAAGUAUCAAAGCUUUUGCGGUACAGGAUGGACCCGCGUCUGAUUAGCUAGUUGGUAAGGUAACGGCUUACCAAGGCGACGAUCAGUAGCCGACCUGAGAGGGUGAUCGGCCACAUUGGAACUGAGACACGGUCCAAACUCCUACGGGAGGCAGCAGUGGGGAAUAUUGCACAAUGGGCGAAAGCCUGAUGCAGCAACGCCGCGUGAGCGAUGAAGGCCUUCGGGUCGUAAAGCUCUGUCCUCAAGGAAGAUAAUGACGKUACUUGAGGAGGGAGGCCCCGGSUUAAYUACGUGCCAGCAGCCGCGGUAAUACGUAGGGGGCUAGCGUUAUUCCGGAAUUACUGGGCGUAAAGGGUGCGUAGGUGGUUUCUUAAGUCAGAGGUGAAAGGCUACGGCUCAACCGUAGUAAGCCUUUGAAACUGGGRAACUUGAGUGCAGGAGAGGAGAGUGGAAUUCCUAGUGUAGCGGUGAAAUGCGUAGAUAUUAGGAGGAACACCAGUUGCGAAGGCGGCUCUCUGGACUGUAACUGACACUGAGGCACGAAAGCGUGGGGAGCAAACAGGAUUAGAUACCCUGGUAGUCCACGCCGUAAACGAUGAGUACUAGCUGUCGGAGGUUACCCCCUUCGGUGGCGCAGCUAACGCAUUAAGUACUCCGCCUGGGAAGUACGCUCGCAAGAGUGAAACUCAAAGGAAUUGACGG